GCUCGUAGUUGGAUUUCCGGCGUGAGGGAUCAGUCUGACUUCUAGUCAGUACUUGGUCCUCUCAUGCCGUCCUUGAAUGGUGCAUCCUGGCAUUAAGUUGUCGGGGUGAGAGCCGUUCAUCGUUUACUGUGAGAAAAUUAGAGUGUUCAAAGCAGGCUUAUGCCGUUGAAUAUAUUAGCAUGGAAUAAUAAGAUAGGACUUUGGUACUAUUUUGUUGGUUUGAGAACCAAGGUAAUGAUCAAUAGGGACAGUUGGGGGUAUUCGUAUUCAGUUGUCAGAGGUGAAAUUCUUAGAUUUCCGGAAGACGAACUACUGCGAAAGCAUUUACCA
This 330-nucleotide ribosomal RNA is filed under the name Chaetoceros cf. neogracilis. RNAcentral's name for it is "SSU rRNA". It matches the Rfam family "Eukaryotic small subunit ribosomal RNA", at positions 626 to 960 of the family's 1831-position model. The record is from RNAcentral. Lineage: Eukaryota; Bacillariophyta; Thalassiosirophyceae; Chaetocerotales; Chaetocerotaceae.